Molecule: ribosomal RNA, 775 nt
Filed under: uncultured Neocallimastigales
Lineage: Eukaryota; Fungi; Neocallimastigomycota; Neocallimastigomycetes; Neocallimastigales
Description: partial large subunit ribosomal RNA
Rfam family: Eukaryotic large subunit ribosomal RNA
Source: RNAcentral
AGAGAGAGACAUGCGCGCAUAUCAAUAAGCGGAGGAAAAGAAACUAACAAGGAUUCCCCUAGUAACGGCGAGUGAAGCGGGAAGAGCUCAAAUUUGAAAUCUUAAAGGGUUUCCCUUUACGAAUUGUAGUUUAAAGAAGUGUUUUCUGUUGAGGUUUUGGUAAAAGUUCUUUGGAAUAGGACAUCAUAGAGGGUGAGAAUCCCGUAUUUGACCUUUACUUUCAACUUUGUGAUACACUUUCAAAGAGUCGGAUUGUUUGGGAAUGCAGUCCAAAAUGGGUGGUAAAUUUCAUCUAAAGCUAAAUAUUGGCGAGAGACCGAUAGCGAACAAGUACCGUGAGGGAAAGAUGAAAAGAACUUUGAAAAGAGAGUUAAACAGUACGUGAAAUUGUCAAAAGGGAAGCGUUUGACACCAGUGUUGUUCUUCUGAAAAUCAAUUAAAGAACUGUUUAUGCUAAGCUGUUUAGACUUUAUCAGCUAAUCUGUUUAGUUUUGAGCUUUUCUUUAAUGCACUUUUCAGUUAACAAGUCAACAUCAAUUUCUUUUGCUGUAAAAAAGCUUGAGGAAGGUGGCUUGAGAUUCGUCUUAAGUGUUUAUAGCCUCUUGCCUAUGCAGUCGGAGAGAUUGAGGUCUGCAGCGUAGAUCCUUCGGGGCUAAAUGCAUUUGUGCUAAGUUAUAGCAUUUUAUAGACAACUUGUUGACUAUGAUUUGUCUUGUAGCUUACUCGCUUAUGUUAUUUUACCUACGCUUAGGAUGUUGACGCAUGAGAUAUACGC